AACGAACGCUGGCGGCAUGCCUAACACAUGCAAGUCGAACGAGACCUUCGGGUCUAGUGGCGCACGGGUGCGUAACGCGUGGGAACCUGCCCUUAGGCUCGGAAUAACUCCCCGAAUGGGGUGCUAAUACCGGAUAAUGUCUUCGGACCAAAGGUUUAUCGCCUUGGGAUGGGCCCGCGUUGGAUUAGCUAGUUGGUAGGGUAAAAGCCUACCAAGGCGACGAUCCAUAGCUGGUCUGAGAGGAUGAUCAGCCACACUGGGACUGAGACACGGCCCAGACUCCUACGGAAGGCAGCAGUGGGGAAUAUUGGACGAGGGGCGAAAGCCUGAUCCAGCCAUGCCGCGUGAGUGAUGAAGGCCUUAGGGUUGUAAAGCUCUUUUACCCGAGAUGAUAAUGACAGUACCGGGAGAAUAAGCUCCGGCUAACUCCGUG
This 433-nucleotide ribosomal RNA is filed under the name uncultured bacterium. RNAcentral describes it as "partial 16S ribosomal RNA". It matches the Rfam family "Bacterial small subunit ribosomal RNA", at positions 29 to 507 of the family's 1533-position model. The record is from RNAcentral.